CCUACGGGCGGCAGCAGUGGGGAAUAUUGGACAAUGGGCGAAAGCCUGAUCCAGCCAUGCCGCGUGUGUGAAGAAGGCCUUCGGGUUGUAAAGCACUUUCAGUGGGGAAGGAAGCCUUGGGGCUAAUACCCUCGAGGAAGGACAUCACCCACAGAAGAAGCACCGGCUAAGUCCGUGCCAGCAGCCGCGGUAAUACGGAGGGUGCGAGCGUUAAUCGGAAUUACUGGGCGUAAAGCGCGCGUAGGCGGUCUGAUAAGCCGGUUGUGAAAGCCCCGGGCUCAACCUGGGAACGGCAUCCGGAACUGUCAGGCUAGAGUGCAGGAGAGGAAGGUAGAAUUCCCGGUGUAGCGGUGAAAUGCGUAGAGAUCGGGAGGAAUACCAGUGGCGAAGGCGGCCUUCUGGACUGACACUGACGCUGAGGUGCGAAAGCGUGGGUAGCAAACAGGAUUAGAUACCCGAGUAGUC
Molecule: ribosomal RNA, 465 nt
Filed under: Vreelandella stevensii
Lineage: Bacteria; Pseudomonadati; Pseudomonadota; Gammaproteobacteria; Oceanospirillales; Halomonadaceae
Description: partial 16S ribosomal RNA
Rfam family: Bacterial small subunit ribosomal RNA
Source: RNAcentral